This 450-nucleotide ribosomal RNA is filed under the name uncultured bacterium. RNAcentral describes it as "bacterial SSU rRNA". It matches the Rfam family "Bacterial small subunit ribosomal RNA", at positions 354 to 796 of the family's 1533-position model. The record is from RNAcentral.
GUGGGGAAUUUUGGACAAUGGGCGCAAGCCUGAUCCAGCAAUGCCGCGUGCAGGAAGAAGGCCUUCGGGUUGUAAACUGCUUUUGUACGGAACGAAACGGUCCUGGUUAAUACCUGGGGCUAAUGACGGUACCGUAAGAAUAAGCACCGGCUAACUACGUGCCAGCAGCCGCGGUAAUACGUAGGGUGCGAGCGUUCAUCGGAAUUACUGGGCGUAAAGCGUGCGCAGGCGGUUGUGUAAGACAGGCGUGAAAGCGCCGGGCUCAACCUGGGAAUUGCGCUUGUGACUGCAAGGCUGGAGUGCGGCAGAGGGGGAUGGAAUUCCGCGUGUAGCAGUGAAAUGCGUAGAUAUGCGGAGGAACACCGAUGGCGAAGGCAAUCCCCUGGGCCUGCACUGACGCUCAUGCACGAAAGCGUGGGGAGCAAACAGGAUUAGAAACCCCUGUAGUCC